CCUACGGGCGGCAGCAGUGAGGAAUAUUGGUCAAUGGACGAGAGUCUGAACCAGCCAAGUAGCGUGAAGGAUGACUGCCCUAUGGGUUGUAAACUUCUUUUAUAUGGGAAUAAAAUGUUCCACGUGUGGGAUUUUGUAUGUACCAUAUGAAUAAGGAUCGGCUAACUCCGUGCCAGCAGCCGCGGUAAUACGGAGGAUCCGAGCGUUAUCCGGAUUUAUUGGGGGUAAAGGGAGCGUAGGUGGAUUGUUAAGUCAGUUGUGAAAGUUUACGGCUCAACCGUAGAAUUGCAGUUGAAACUGGCAGUCUUGAGUACAGUAGAGGUGGGCGGAAUUCGUGGUGUAGCGGUGAAAUGCUUAGAUAUCACGAAGAACUCCGAUGGCGAAGGCAGUUCACUGGACUGCAACUGACACUGAGGCGCGAAAGUGUGGGUAUCAAACAGGAUUAGAUACCCCAGUAGUC
RNAcentral lists this ribosomal RNA (460 nucleotides) under uncultured bacterium. RNAcentral describes it as "partial 16S ribosomal RNA". It matches the Rfam family "Bacterial small subunit ribosomal RNA", at positions 338 to 795 of the family's 1533-position model. The record is from RNAcentral.